This 467-nucleotide ribosomal RNA is filed under the name uncultured bacterium. Its description in RNAcentral is "partial 16S ribosomal RNA". It matches the Rfam family "Bacterial small subunit ribosomal RNA", at positions 29 to 507 of the family's 1533-position model. The record is from RNAcentral.
ACGAACGCUGGCGGCGUGCUUAACACAUGCAAGUCGGACGGAAAGGCCCUGCUUUUGUGGGGUGCUCGAGUGGCGAACGGGUGAGUAACACGUGAGUAACCUGCCCUUGACUUUGGGAUAACUUCAGGAAACUGGGGCUAAUACCGGAUAGGAGCUCCUGCUGCAUGGUGGGGGUUGGAAAGUUUCGGCGGUUGGGGAUGGACUCGCGGCUUAUCAGCUUGUUGGUGGGGUAGUGGCUUACCAAGGCUUUGACGGGUAGCCGGCCUGAGAGGGUGACCGGCCACAUUGGGACUGAGAUACGGCCCAGACUCCUGCGGGAGGCAGCAGUGGGGAAUAUUGCACAAUGGGCGGAAGCCUGAUGCAGCAACGCCGCGUGCGGGAUGACGGCCUUCGGGUUGUAAACCGCUUUCGCCUGUGACGAAGCGUGAGUGACGGUAAUGGGUAAAGAAGCACCGGCUAACUACGUG